AGUAGGUGUCGCUGUGAGCGUCCAGGUCGCGUUGUGUUACAGGAAUAGAAGAAGGCGUGCGGCAGUGUUGCUGAUUGAUGAUCUGAUCUCGGACUCUACUAAUCAUCUUUCCAUUCCAAUAUUUCUGACAGGGUUUUACCUCCACACUUCCAUCUGAUCCGCUGGAGCUGAAUUUGAGGAGCUUCACCAUGUUCAGGGAAGUUACAGCUCUGCCUCUGCCAUGUUAAUCUGUAUUCUAUGUGACUCUCGGAGGACUCGGAGGACAUGGAGGACACGCCCCCGUCUCCGUAGUGUUGAUACGUCAUGUUCACGUAGCAGCAGUGGUGCUGAGAGAACGCGCUCGAAUGAUUGAGUGGUGUCCAGUCUUCCCUUUCUAUCUUCUUUUUUACUUAUCUGAUAUCUGACCUCUACAAGAACAUCCAGAGAUCCUAGGAUGAAGUCAGAAAAGUGUGAGAAUCAGGAAUCCAUACAGAGCUCCAGUACAUUUCACACCAAGACUUCUCAUUUGGAAAAGAAACCCCCACCCCUGCUCACACUGUGGGAAGAGUUUUAGCCAAAAGAGCACUCUCAAACAACACCAGCGCAUU
This is a long non-coding RNA of Silurus meridionalis, 587 nucleotides long. RefSeq lists it as uncharacterized. The record is from RefSeq and is a predicted model, not a curated record. Lineage: Eukaryota; Metazoa; Chordata; Actinopteri; Siluriformes; Siluridae. The transcript is spliced from 3 exons.